Molecule: transfer RNA, 63 nt
Filed under: Gryllus lineaticeps
Lineage: Eukaryota; Metazoa; Arthropoda; Insecta; Orthoptera; Gryllidae
Description: tRNA-Ile
Source: RNAcentral
CUAGCACUCUAUGACAAUACACCCCAUUCAGAAAGCUUUAUUAUAAACUGCUUUGACAAGCAU